Molecule: long non-coding RNA, 2706 nt
Organism: Drosophila elegans
Lineage: Eukaryota; Metazoa; Arthropoda; Insecta; Diptera; Drosophilidae
Exons: 3
Source: RefSeq, a predicted model, not a curated record
GGAUCGUCCGGAUGCAGCUCCACUACGUCGAUUGGUCGUUUGUUGAUGACCGAAUGAAUCGACUUGUUAUGUUUGGUGGCGGCUAACAAAAUUACUUCCACAGUAUCAGUAAACUCUUUGUCGAUUUUCAAACAACGUGCAUGUUCCGACAGGGUGCUGUGGAAGCGCUCCUCUUUUCCGUUUGAGACGCUAUGGAGGGGUGGUGCGUUUUCAGUGCUUACACAAAAAUGGUUCCCGAGCAUAGUUGAGAUUGUGUGCGAAUUUAAUGAUGGUUCAUUAUCGCAAUAGACUAACUUAGCCCUAGGGAAAAAUUUAUAAGUUGUAAUAUGGCCGGUUUAAGUCUUCAAUUGUCCUUGAGUGGACAUUCUGCACGACGGCGAAUUUUGAAAAUUUGUCAAUGCAGGUGAGGAAGUAUUUUUUAUCCGUAAAACAAAUGUCAAUAUGAAGCAUUUCUCCUACGUGAGAGGGGGUCGGCGUCUCGCCGAGCUCAUGUUUUUUGGGAGCCUGUCGUGUUUGGCUUUUGCGCACGUAUUGAAAUUUUCGACGAUCUCGGCAGCUAAUUUCGCCAUUUUUGGGAAGUAGUACUCGCAGAGUACCUGCUUCACGUUUUCUUGGGCCGACCUGUGAAUCCUGUUGUGCUCAGCGGAGAGGAUUUUUCGUCUCUCCGUGAUUGCAAAAAUGUCCGUUACGCGAUUUUUGCAACUCCAAAAUUUUUGGGCUAGAAAUUGGCGAACCAGUUCGUCCUGUAUCAUUGCGAGUGUGUGUAAAUCGCAAUGGAUGGCGUUUACUCCCUUAGGAACUAUUACAUCUGCGAGCUCAUCAAGUAAUGACUCCUUGCAGGAGAAGCUGAUCGCAUGCCGUCUCUGGUUUCCAAAGAGGACAAAAGACUCGUCAAUGCGCGCCUUCCACCUUUUGAUUUUUGCGUUCGGAUUAUAUUCCGAAACUGCAAAGUUAAUGGUUGGUGGUCGGUAAGGAUAUGUAUAUCCUUGACCGCGUAUAAGUAGUGCCGUAGUUUGGACAAUGCCCAAAUCAUGGCCAACAAUUUUCUUUCAUUGGUGAAAUGUUCAACGUUCUUGAGAUUAUUGUAAUAGGGCGUCCUUCUUGGGACAGCACUGUACAAAUUCCAUAAGCCGAGGCAUCUGUCGUUAGAUCAAAUGACUUCUUAUAAUCAGGGUAUCUCAGCAUCACAUCUUCAGAUGCCAAGAUAUUUCCGUGACCUAUGUCUACAACAGUUCCAUUUUCCCCUUUUAGGAUAUCAGAAAAAGGUCUCGCUAUAGCUGCAAAAUCCUUUAUAAAACAUCUAUAAUAGCUCGUCAGACCGAGGAACAACCUGAUUUCGAAUACAGACUUUGACCUUUUCUGGAUCAGUCGUUGCGCCAUCACUGGUUACAAUAAACCCUAAAAAACUCACACUUUUGUUGAAGAAGCGCGAUUUUUCUACUGACACCCUCAUGUUUGCUUCGUAAAGGGCUUUAGAACCCAAUCUACAUGUGUGACGUGGGAUUGUUCAUUUUCUGAAAAGAUGAUCUCAUCAUCCACAUAUACGUAGCAAGAUUUGUUCUCGCAAAAUGUCGUCGAUUGUCCUGUGAAAUAUGCUGGGCGCAUUUUUCAGACCAAAAGGGAGACUUCGAAAUUCAUAUUUUCCCCCGUUUACCGAAAAAGAAGUUUUCUCACGGUCGCGUUUUGCGAGCAUAAUCUGGUGAAAACCCGACUUAAAAUCUAAUGAAAUAUUUGGUCUUGCCUAAGUUCGCCAAUAUCAUAGAGAUAUUUGGCAUGGGGUACUUGUGGGAUAUUGUUUUUUGUUUAAUUUGAGAAAGUCAAUUACUAGUCGCAUUUUCUUGUUGCCCUCUUCAUCAGUUCCCUUUUUGUUUACUACCCCUAUUGGGUUGUUGUAAGGAGACGCUGAGUUUUGGAUUAUGCCGAUACUCAACAGAUUGUGUAUUUAUUUGCUGACAAGGCGGCAGCCCACAUAGGGUAAGGAUACAAUUUUGCAUAAAUGGGGUAUUCGUUUUCUGUCCUGAUUGUAGCUACCACCGAUGUGUUAUAGGGUAGUGCUUCAUCUGGAUUAGCAAAAGCCUUUUUUCUAUCCCUAAGCAAUUUUAAAAACGCGCCUUUUAUCAAUGGCGGUGCAUCUGAGCAAUCUAUAUUGAUAAAAUUUACAUCAGUGCACGUAUGGCAUGGUAUUUGCUCCGCUUCCGUACCCCGUUUGAUCUGGCUGGAACCUAAACAGAGAGAUGCCCCUGCCUGUGGCACACCGUGAAUGGAAUGGAUUAUGAACGGGGAAUUAACUGGGCGGACACCUUUAAAACCUUGAUGCGGUCGAAUAAAAUUUUAAGAUGCGCCCGUGUCAAUUAAGAACUUCAUGUGUACCCCUGCUACUCUUCGUCCGAUGACAGCAUCAUCGUUGAUCUCUGCUAUUGCGCUGGACGCAGUGUUGGCGUAAGAUUUCCCUACCUGAUCUGAGCCUUGGGUGACGUGGUUUACCCUUUGGGCGCCUGUGCACUCGGACGUUGCCGGUCGCCUAUACUGAUAAGUGGGAGCUUGGGCAGGAGAGCAAACCUUUGCAGAGGGAUCGACUUCCAUCGGCUCCGGUAUACUCUACAAUCUGUUAUUACGUGGGUAGGCACUUGAACUGAGGCUCGAUGAAUUGAACUGUAUCCCUAAUUUCUAUGGCUGUAUAAACCGUUUGAGACGAAAUCUCGGGAC